UCCUCACUUUGGGCCUUUUCCUGUGGAAC
RNAcentral lists this non-coding RNA (29 nucleotides) under Rattus norvegicus (Norway rat). Lineage: Eukaryota; Metazoa; Chordata; Mammalia; Rodentia; Muridae. The record is from RNAcentral.